Molecule: ribosomal RNA, 374 nt
Filed under: Liburna glaciale
Lineage: Eukaryota; Euglenozoa
Description: SSU rRNA
Rfam family: Eukaryotic small subunit ribosomal RNA
Source: RNAcentral
AAUACACCAAAGGGAAACCCGAGGUGUGGAGGAGAAAUGCAUCUGACCGGUACAAAAGCUGGCGCUCGCAAGAGCAGCGUGUAUGGAUGAACUAGGUUAAAAUUGUAAUAGCGUAGCAGUCUUGCACUGGCGCUAGGCUGUGUGAAUUUCUGCCCUAUCAGCUUUCGAUGGUAGUGCAGUGGACUACCAUGGCAUCUACGGGUAACGAGGAAUCAGGGUUUGAUUUCGGAGAGGGAGCUCUAGAAACGGCUACCACAUCUAAGGAAGGCAGCAGGCGCGCAAAUUGCCCAAUACCAGCACUGGUGAGGCAGCGACGAACAAUAACAACUCCGCACACUUCGGUUUGUGGAGAUUGUAAUGGACGGUAUCCAAAA